RNAcentral lists this long non-coding RNA (8105 nucleotides) under Theobroma cacao (cacao). RNAcentral's name for it is "long non-coding RNA (TCAC_LNC003637)". The stretch from base 3949 to 4041 matches the Rfam family "Small nucleolar RNA snoR8a". Lineage: Eukaryota; Viridiplantae; Streptophyta; Magnoliopsida; Malvales; Malvaceae. The record is from RNAcentral.
ACAAACAAGUGAUUCCCAAGGAAGGCUUGGAAACCUUAUGGGAAAUCUUGAUGGACAUAGAGGACAUUUUUAUCCAACUGAAUCCUUAUGGUGGAAGAAUGGAAGAGAUCUCAGAGUCGGAGACAGCAUUUGCACAUAGAGCUGGAAACCUUUACAAAGUACAAUAUACCGUGCUGUGGUCGGAGUCUGACGGAGGCAUCAGCGCUGAAGAGCGGUACGUUGAACUGUCAAGAAGAUUGUACAGUGCAAUGACUCCAUACGCAUCCAGCAACCCAAGGGAGGCAUUCAUCAACUACAGAGAUCUUGACAUUGGCAGCAACGAAAGCAACAACACAGAUUUUGCAGUUGCCAGCGUUUAUGGAGCUAAGUAUUUCAAGAACAAUUUCCUGAGAUUGACACGUGUGAAAGCCUUGAUAGACCCUGAAAAUUUCUUCAAAAAUGAACAAAGCAUUCCGCCAUUGCCGACUCACAAGUUCUAAUGAGGAGGAUAACCUGUGCUGCCCUUGUCAAACGUCACCGCUCCCAACCGUUAUAUUUUGUACGACCCUACAAUAAAAGAAAAUAAAAGCUUGUGUGAAAUAUCUUCUGAAUUUUUAUUUCUUAAAGGCAAGACUCGACUUUUUGCCAUUUAUUUGUUAUUAUUGCUUGUAAUUAACACCAUAUUGUUCUAUAUCUGUAAUAAAGAAUAAUUUAAUAUUUGUGUAAUUCAACAAGAAGAUAUUUCUAUGUAAUAAAGAAUAUGUGAUUUGAUCAUCUAUUAUUUUUUUUGUUCACAGUCAAAAUAAGAUAAUUUUAUUAAUAUAAAAAAUGAUGCAAUUGUUCAGAUCUCGAUAUAAUUAAGAUAUGUAAACAAAUAAAAAUUAGAGCCUCAUUGGAAACAUAAAAAAUCAAGACAAAUAAAUAGUUCUUAAUUAUUUAACACUAUCAUUUUCUAUUGCAAUAAAAAAAAUGAUUAGGUCAUCUAUUGUUUCUUUUAGUCAGAAUAAAAUAAUUUUAUUCAGAUCAAAAAAUUGAAGUAAUAGCUUAUAUCUCAAUAUAAUUGAGAUAAAUAAACAAUUAAAAAUCAGAUAUUUAUUGAUAUAUAAAGAAUCAAAACAAAUAAAUAACUCUUAUUCCAUGCAGUCAGUAAACGUAAAACCUUUCUUUAUAAUAAAAUAUAUAUGAUUGGAUCAUCUAUUUUCUUUUAGUCAAAACAAGAUAAUUUUAAUCAUUAAUAUAAAAAAUUGAUACAAUUGUUCAUUUCUCAAUGUAAUUAAGGUAAGUAAACAAUUAAAAAUUAGAGACUCAUUCGAAAUAUAAAAAUUCAAGACAAAUAAAUAUAUAGCUCGUAUUUCACAUUAUCAUUUUUUUGUAAUAAAGAAUAUAUGAUUCGAUCAUCUAUUAUUUCUUUUCGUCAAAAUAAGAUAAUUUGAUUAAUAUAAAAAAAUUGAUACAAUUACUGAUACCUCGAUAUAAUUGAAAUAAAUAAAUAAUUAAAAACACGUUUUUAUGUAACUAAAUUUGACUAAAACUAAUUUAAAGAGCUUGAUAUAUUUAUGGCCUUUGGUCCUUAAAAAAGAAGGAUAAGAUUGGCGGCUAGCCUCUUGGGCAAGUCAAAUCCAGCGGUGAAGUACGUAGCCAAUUCAUAGUUUAUCCCAUUUCUCUCUUGCAUUUUCUCUCCAUCCAAAAAGGAUGACCACAACAUAAUUAUCCAAUUCCAAACUCAAAAUUUCCUUUAUAAGAUAUAUAUGAAAAAUAUUAGACCUAGCUAUUUCUUGCUUGAAAUUCCUGUUCGAGAAACAUUGACUAUACCCAAAGUCAAAAGUCCAGGUUUCUUAUGGAUUGAAAACGUGUACCAUCAAACAUACCAGAAAGAUGAAAUUGUCUGAUUCACAAGCUAACGAACGAGAAGAUUGAAUUUGAACCUAUAUAUAUGUUCUGCACUGAUCUAAAAAGCCCUGGAUGUACGCUGUUGACAAUAUGAGUGUUGCAGUAUAUUUUUCUUCAAAGGCAUUGAAAUUUGUAUAGAGUCAUUAAAAGAGAGAUUGUUCCCAAUGAACAGAACCCUGGAUAUUUUGCAACUUAGCAUACAGCAUAUCUUUAUGUAACACCUCUGAUUAGACUAAAUCGUCUGUUAGAGAAUUUGUCUCUCUAAAUAUGUGAACGAAAGGAGAAACUUGUAUUGUUUCUCUUACAUUUCUCAAUGCAAUUUGCAAUGUGAAUCAUUCAUUAGGACUUUCGAGAAUGAUUACUGAGCCAUAAGAUUGUGUGUUUUCGAGUCACUUUCAAUAAUGAAAAAGUGCAUCAAAUCCUAUAUAUGCACUAACAGGCAGAAGUCUGUGAUCUAUUCCUCUGUCUAGUGAUUGCUCAUGGGGGUGGAAGAAAAUCUUGAAACUAAGAAACUAUAUCAAACCCUAUGUGCAAAACAUAAUAGAUUAUGGAAAACCCACAGAUUUUUGGUUUGAUUACUGCCAACCUAAAGGGCCUUUGUUGCUUAUGCACUAUAAUUUCAUGAUCUCUUCCUUUUCAAGUAAAUGGGGUAAAUGCACUCGAAUAUUUAACUCAUUGAUUGAUACAUGAUCUCUAUUUAAAAAAUAAUAUUUAAAUCCCCUUCUUCAAUUUAAAAAAAAAAUAAAAGGGACAACUGUAGUUAAUGUUGCACUCUUCCCUUUCAAGCAGAAAGGAACAAUUGUCAUUAAUGCUGCAGGUUUGGUUUGGCCUCUGGCUAGAUCAGAUGAUUUAGUGGAGACUCAAUGCUCCUCAUAUGAUGCUAUUAUUCUUAAUCCGAGACGGAAAGAUGAAGCCAUCUGGACUUAGUCUAGCAAUGGAAUGGGAAGUUUACAAUCUCUAGUACUUUGAAUAUCGUUAGACAUAGAAAACCAUCUUCUCUUGAGCCUUAUAGAGAAGAAACACUGCUUACCAGUUACUUGAAGAAGAGUACUAUCGUUCGAAAGAUUUUAAUAAUUUAGAUAGAUGACAUGAUUUUGAGGUCGACACAAGAAAGGGGCCAUGAGAUCAGGGUAGGGGUUUUGCAUUCCUAGCUCCAUCUUUAUACAUGUACAAAUUAAAUUCAAAUUAUACUUAAAUGACUCUUAAUUAUCAAAUUAAUAUAUAAUUAAUUACAUUCAAUAAAAGAAACAAAUUAGCAAAUCAACAUAUUAGUAUAUAGUUAAAAAUUAGUCAAAAUACCCACCAAGUCUUGUACCCAUGCAUUUUAUUCAAUUUAGUCUAUGUACUCAAAAUUGAAAUAAUUUAAUCUCUUGAUUUUAGAAAUUGUUUCAAUUUAGUUCCUCUCACUAACGGUAUCAAAUUUUAUUGUUAAAAGCAUGAUGUUAGCACUGACAUCAACGUUGAUGUGGCAUAUUUUGCUGGUGUGGCACCAACUUGAUGGCAUGGCAGCGCCACAUGACCCUAAUAUGUGACGUGUCAGUGCUACAUGAUAGAUAAAAAAAUUUUCGAAAAAAUUUUUUAUGCUACGUCAUAAAGACUAAAUUAAACAAAAAUAUAUAGUACAGGGACUAAGUUAAACAAAAUUGAGAUUUUGAGGGGCUAAAUUGAAAAAAAUAUUUGAAAAAUAUAAAUCUUUAAGUAGAUGAUAGAUAUACUUAUUAAUAAGUUAAAUAUUUAAGUAUAAAAGAUUUAUGGUGUUAUAAAUAUAUAUAAAUAUUUUCUUUAUUUUUUGAUCGUAGAAUAUGUAUAUUAAUUUAUCUUUUUUACAAAAAUUAAGUUUGAAUUCUCUUUCUAUAAAAAAAUUUCAAAAAAAUUUCAUACCUAAAGUUAAAUUUAAAUAAAUAACUUGCACUACAUUCAAAUAAAAUAAUAUAAAAAAACUAAAUAAAAUUUUUUUCUAUUUAUAAUAGUAUAAAAAUUUGAAAUUUAUUUGACUUGACUUUUAACUUGAGUUGAACUCAAAUUAGCAUGAUAAGUUGACUUAGUUUUUUUAAAAAAAAAAUGAAAAAGUGAGAUAUAGAGUUAGCAAUUAUUAUAAAAAUAAUUCUUCAUUUUGACUUACUUAAUUUGGGCAUGACAAACUUCUUAUUAUAAUCAUAAAAUCUGAGUUACUCCACCUCUUCAAUUAUUUAUUUUUUUAUGUUUUUGUUUUAUCUAAUAUUUCAGGUUAUAUUCUUUAGGUUGAAAUUUCUUGGAUUAAAGACUAUAGUUAUGGUUGAUAGAGUUAAAUAUAAUUAUAAAUAUUUAUACAAUUUUAUAUUGUAUUUACAAUUUUUUUGUAGAUAUAAGUUAAUAAUUUAAAUUUAAAUUUAACAAAAUUUGAUUAUUUGAACUUAAAUAAAUCGUUUUAUAAGAACCUUUGAGUAAAUUUAAAUAAAAGUAAAUUGGGUAAGGGUUAAAUAAUUCCAAAAGGAUGAAUAUUUGUAAAUUGUAAAAGUUGUAACUAAAUCAACCUAUUUUACUUAUUUGAGUUUAAUUCAAGUUAGAAACUAAGUCAAAUAAAUUUUAAAUUUUUAUACUAUUAUAAAUAGAAUAAAAAAAUUUAUUUAGUCUUUUUACAUUAUUUUAUUCUAACAUAAUGCAAGUUGUUCAUCUAAAUUUAUCUAUAGGUAUGAAAUUUUUUUCAAAUUCUUUUUAUAGAAGAAAAAUUCAAACUUAAUUUUUGCAAAGAAGAUAAAUUUAUAUACAUAUUUUAGAAUCAAAUAAUUAAGUAAGAAAAUAUUUAUAUAUUUUUUAACAUUAUAAAUCUUUUACACUUAAAUAUUUAGCUUAUUAAUAAGUAUAUCUAUUAUCUACUUAAAGAUUUGUAUUUUUCAAAUAUUGUUUCAAUGUAGUCCCUCAACAUCUCAAUUUUGUUUCAUUUAGUCUAUGUACUAUAUAUUUUUGUUCAACUUAAUCUUUAUGAUGUGACACAAAAAAAAAUUUUAAAAUUUUUUAUUUGCCACAUGGCACUGACACGUCAGCAUGUCAGUGCCACAUCAUCAUAUUAGGGCCACAGGGCACAGCUAGGUCAUCAUGUGAGUGUCAUGUCAUCAGAAUAUGUCAUAUCAGUACUGAUGUCAACGCUAACGUCAUCCUUUUAACGGUAAAAUUAAAUAUCAUUAGUAAGAAGAACUAAUUGAAGUGAUUUUCAAAACUAAGGAACUAAAUUGUUUCGAUUUUUAGUACAAGGACUAAAUUGAAUAAAAUGCAUAGGUAUAGGGACUUGGUGGGUAUGUUAGCCUUUAAAAAUUUUAACUUAAAGUUAGAUCAUUAAUUAUUGGCAAUAUAUAUGUCAAAUAAAAAAAUUAGAGAAUUUACAAAGUCAAAAACAAUUAAAGAAUUUACGAAAAGUCUAAGAAUGAUAUAUUCAAUUUUGAGAACACAAAUCGUCUGCCCCUGUUUUGUGCCUCGUUUAGUGCCCCUCUUAUAACUUGAUGUCAUGUGUAUGAUAGGUUUUUAUUUGUUAACGUCAGCUGUUAGGUCAUUUGUACUGCCGUUAAGUAUAAUUUCAGUCUAGGCUAACAUCAACACUUUACAGCCUCCUCUUUUCCACACUUCUCUCUUCAAAUCUUUGAUCAAAGUCAAGGAACAUUUUUACAUAAAGUUUUUUUUUCUGUUUUCUCUUCAUAUAUAUUCUGAUGAUGGUAAUAAAAAAUUAAAGAAGGAGAAGAUAAUUAAGAAGAAGAAGAAGAAGAAAAAGAGGCAAAAUGUAUAUUCUGCCAUUAGUUGUUAUUGUUUCCAGGGCGGUUAGAUAUUAACCUCAGUCUUAUUUGACAUAAUGUUGUCUUUGAUCUUCCUAUGAUGCCCAUCAACAUUCUCAUACUCCUGUGCCAAUAAGCAUCCAUCAACAUUCUCAUACUCCUGUAGCGAUCAGCAUCCAUAUCUGAGGUAAAAGACUUUUGGGUACUCUUUUUUGUCCAAUCAUGCUUGCCAGAGUCAAAAUCUUCAGAUGAAUAAGAGCACUUAUGUUUGCUCUUCUUAUGAUGCCUAUAAAACUCUGUUUUUUUCUUAGAAAUUAUGAAAUUUAUUGAGUAAUCGUAAAAUCGCAUUACUUUGAUUAAUGAGUGAUCAACUAGAGCAUCGAUUAUAUUUAAUUUAAUAUACAAAAAGUUUGUAUCGACAAUCCAUCCUUAGACUCAAUUAUACAACAAAAAAUUAUGUUUUCAAUUCUUACUCAAUCUUAUAAAUUAACUGAUGAGUUAAUCUGCAGCGUCUUUAAAUGAAUAAGAAUAUUUGUGUCUUCUCUUACUCUAAUGCUUAUCGAAAUUUGAUUAUCAAAAGAGCAUGUUUUAGAAUAAUUUUACCUCUUUUUCUUCUUCUUCUUAGUUAUCUUCUCCUUGUUUGAUUUUUUAUUACCAUCAUCAGAAUAUACAUGCAAAGCAAACAGAAAAAAAACUUAUGUAAAAAUGUUCCUUGACUUCGAUCAAAGAUUUGAUGAGGGAAGUGUGGAAAAGAGGAGGCUGUAAAGUGUUAAUAUUAACCUAGACUACUAAACGGCAGUACAAAUGACCUAACAGCUGACGUUAACAAAUCAAAACCUAUCAUAGACGUGGCAUCAAAUUAUAAGAGGGGCACAAAACAGGGGCAGACGAUUUGUGUUCCAAUUUCGGGCACAUCCAGAACGAAAAUGAAUUUUGUUUUGAAAUAUUCUUGGUCUUCUUUCUAAACCUUUCAGACUUGAUCUGGAAUUGAUCCAAACGACCCUCUCCUCUCUAUAUAAACACAUAUAUUGAACCAACAGAAGUGCACAAGCCCAUUAAAGAUCUCGAGAUUCUUUGUGAAAAAAUGAAAGCUUCAAGCUCUAUACUAUCCAUCGUUUCAAUGCUCUUGUUAUCAAUUUCAUUGGUAACAUCAGAAUCAGCUCUUGAUAAUUUCCUGCAAUGCCUUCCUCAACAUUCCAACCCUUCUAAUCCAAUCUCUGAUGCCAUAUACACUCCCAACAAUGCCUCCUUUCAAUCUAUUUACGAGUUACGUGCAAAUAACCUUAGAAUCUUAUCUUCUGUAACCUCCAAACCAGUGGCCAUUAUCACAGCCCUGCAUGAAUCCCAUGCUCAAGCCACUGUCAUUUGCGCCAAGCGCCAUGGCUUCCAAGUAAGAAUUCGAAGCGGGGGUCACGAUUAUGAGGGCCUAUCCUAUACAUCAGACGUCCCAUUCGUCAUUCUUGAUAUGUUUAAUCUUAGGUCUAUACAGAUUGAUAUGGCAAGCGAGACCGCAUGGGUUCAGGCAGGGGCGACCACAGGCGAACUGUAUUACCGGAUAGCCGAGAAAAGCAAAGUCCAUGGCUUCCCAUCUGGAGUUUGCACUACUCUUGGCAUUGGUGGACACUUCAGUGGAGGUGGCUACGGCCCCCUAAUGAGAAAAUACGGCCUUUCUAUCGAUAACGUCAUUGACGCACAAUUGAUCGAUGCCAAUGGUCGAAUCCUUAACAGAAAGUCCAUGGGAGAAGAUGUGUUUUGGGCAAUCCGAGGAGGUGGAGGAACUAGCUUUGGAAUCAUCCUCUCAUGGACGAUCAAGCUGGUUCGUGUUCCUGCUAAGGUGACUGUUUUCAACGUGCAGAGGACUUUGGAUCAAGGUGCAACAGAUCUUUCUUAUCGUUGGCAACAAGUUGCCCCUAACCUGCCUAAAGAUCUCUUCCUCAGACUUCAGGCUGAGCCUAUAACUGGAACUGGCAGUGGCAACAAAACCAUACGAGUUUCAUUCAUCGCCCAUUUUCUUGGACAAACUGAUAGACUUAUCCAACUGAUGAACGCCAACUUCCCUGAAUUGGGUUUGCAGCGAAGUGACUGCAUUGAAAUGAGUUGGGUCGAAUCCACCCUCUUCUGGGCCGGCUUCCCCAAUGGAACUUCCAUUGACGUCUUGCUCAAUAGAGUGCAAGAGGACAGAGACUUCUACAAGACUAAGUCCGAUUACUACAAAAAGGUGAUUCCUAAGGAAGGCUUGGAAACCUUAUGGGAAAUCUUAAUGGACAUAGAGGACAUUGUUAUCCAACUGAAUCCUUAUGGUGGAAGAAUGGAAGAGAUCUCAGAGUCGGAGACAGCAUUUGCACAUAGAGCUGGAAACCUUUACAAAGUACAAUAUACCGUGCUGUGGUCGGAGUCUGACGGAGGCAUCAGCGCUGCAGAGCGGUACGUUGAACUGUCAAGAAGAUUGUACAGUGCAGUGACUCCAUACGCAUCAAGCAACCCAAGGGAGGC